UACGUAGGGGGCAAGCGUUAUCCGGAUUUACUGGGUGUAAAGGGAGCGUAGACGGUUAUGUAAGUCUGGAGUGAAAGCCCGGGGCCCAACCCCGGGACUGCUUUGGAAACUGUGUAACUGGAGUACAGGAGGGGCAGGCGGAAUUCCUGGUGUAGCGGUGAAAUGCGUAGAUAUCAGGAGGAACACCGGCGGCGAAGGCGGCCUGCUGGACUGAAACUGACGUUGAGGCUCGAAAGCGUGGGGAGCAAACA
RNAcentral lists this ribosomal RNA (251 nucleotides) under uncultured bacterium. RNAcentral describes it as "partial 16S ribosomal RNA". It matches the Rfam family "Bacterial small subunit ribosomal RNA", at positions 524 to 774 of the family's 1533-position model. The record is from RNAcentral.